Monodelphis domestica (gray short-tailed opossum) is the source of this 8422-nucleotide long non-coding RNA. RefSeq lists it as uncharacterized. The record is from RefSeq and is a predicted model, not a curated record. Lineage: Eukaryota; Metazoa; Chordata; Mammalia; Didelphimorphia; Didelphidae.
UUUUGACAAAAAUGAGAGCAGCUUUUAAUAAUUUAAGUAUAGUUGUAAAGUAUUAUCCUUUUAAGUCAGAGAAAAGAAAACUUCUAGCAGCUUUUAACAAUUAACAAUUUAGUUCACUACCUAAAAAUACCUAUCUGUACCUGUAACUGCCAUUAGAGAAAGUCCAGCUUCACCCUUUAGCUCAGCUCACCAGGCAGAAAACAAACAAAUAAAUAAAUGUGUGUGUGUCUCCCUACCAACUAAUCACCAACCCACACCACCAGCAACCAACCCCCAACCACAACUCAUGCCCAGCUGCCAACUUCCCCUCAACUGCCAUCCCUCACCGUUACCAACUCACAGCCCCACCAACUCAAAUUGGCUCCUUUUACAACCUUUUCCUACCUUACUUCCUGUCUCAGUGGUUCCUCCUUCUUGUCUCUAUGGUUUCUUCUUCCUGUCUCUAUGGUAACUAUUUCCUGUCACUGUGGGCUGGUUAAUCACUACACAUCUCUAUGGUGAGAGGACCUUCAGGUCCCCCAUUAAAGAAAUUAAAGAAUUCCUUUUUACACACAAGAUAACCCAUCAUGAACUUAAAGACAUCUAACUUCUCUAGUAACUGUCUUUUCUCCAUACUAAACUAUAUCUAGUUGUUUUUGUUUUUUUCAGAUACAUCUCCAUGUGGCAAAGCCCAAAGGUACCAAAGAGCAAAGGGUAGACACCAGAAGUUUAAGGUGUUCCUCACAACAACAUUCCCAUUUCUCAGCUGAAGCAAUAUGAAUUUUAAGUAUUCUAGAACCAUCUGAAUAAGAUGAAACAUAUAGGAAUAAACUGCAUAAUGGUGUCCCAAACAACUUCAUUUUACAGUACAUUAAUUUAUCUGUGAUCUUACUGAUGUGGCUGACACUACCCCCUCAAUGCUUUCUCAUCCUAAGUCUAUGUCUUCAACCAAAGAUCUUCCUAGCACGUGUACAAUGGAGACUUUACCCUGUUUUUUGGCAUAGCUUUUAAAAGAAAAUAGUUCAUAGGUACUGAUUAACAACUCCUCUUGGCCAUCUAUCAUCCUUCUCAAUACCUGACUGGCCCAUCCCCUUUUGUUGACAUUGAAGAGGGAAUAAGAAAAAAAUCAUAGGUGUACCUAUAUAAUAUCUGCCUGACCAAUGUAAUACUGCCAUUUUAUCAACUAAUGUGAAGUACUCCAAAAGUCUUAGUGAAAUUUGAAUCUAAUAAACCUUGUCUGAACAUCCUGAAAGUUUGCUUCUAUCUUCUGACCAACCACCUGUGAGGCAAAACAAAUAACAAUCCAAUCUAAUGCUAAAACUCCAGUGACAAGUUAACUCUCUUGAUCAGGCAGACCUUUCUACUGCUCCAUUUGGAAUACUGUACCCGUGAAGCUCAGAACCAAUAAUGUUUUUUCAUAUAAUAUCUAAGACCAAUUAAUGAUGAUAGUUGAAUUGACAAUUCUAUCACCUUCCCAUUUAACAAGCUUUUCAACUUUAUAGUAACUGUAGUUUGAUUUUUUUCCCCUUUAUGCAAUUUACAGUUAUAACACUGAGAGUCAAGCUGCCUUCACUAUUUUGACAGAGGAAAAAAUUAUUGAGCAGAUGAUGUACACAAUUUACAUUCAAACCAAACAUUUGCAUUAUAUAAGACAACGUCAAGAGGAUGAGAACAGUAACAAUCAGCAUGAGAAAGAAAUGAAAAGGAUUUAGGAAAGGCUUCAACCAACAUACUACAUUAAGUCCUUCAGUCAAUGGCCCCCAAAAUUCAUUGGAUGGCAAGUAAAAAUCUAACCCAGUGCCUGAGCCUCAGUGACAUUAAGUCUUCAAUACUUCAAAUUUGCCAUAUUACUACAAUAUCCACAUAGAUAUUGUUCCUAUGGAUAUGGAUUCUUCCAUAAUAUUGUUUUAAUCGAUGUUUUGGUGAAACCAAUUAAAGUUGCUUUGCAGGAGUUAUCCUAUAUUUCCAUCCAAACGUAAAGAGGGCACAUUCAUCAAUUAUUGCUUUCAUGGAUUUGAUUCUCUAGAUAAGAAGUUUGCAGGGAGACAGAGGCAUACAAAGGCCAAGAAAAUAUGCAUCACAACUUUUUUCUUAGUAAAAAUUAAAUUGUCAUAAUGGCUUUCAGAAUUACAUAAGACAGUUAUGAGUCCACUAAAUCUUUCAUGGUAAUGGAAAAGCAAGGGCACUAGUCAUGAAUAAUUUACUAUAUGCUUAAGCUUCGUAUUAGAGGACUCCCACAGCAAGAAUCAUAUGCAGUAGGUUACUUAUAAGAGAUGAUUCUCACUAACUUAGCCAUUAUUAGUUGGCACUUACUUUGGAAGUUUAGGAGGGAGAAAAGAAGGGGACAGGCACAAGAGCAAGACAAGGUGACACCAGUAAAACUCUAAAACUAAAAUGAAAGACAAAGAGGAUGUCAAGUGACCAUUAAGGACUGAGAGAACUGAAUUUAUCAUAAGAUAUCAUUACCUAGCCCUUACCACUCUUCUGCCUUAGAAGUAACACUUAAUAUUGAUUCUAAGCCAGAAAAUUAGGAUUUAUUUUUUAAAAUUAACCCCAAAACCCCAUAAGAUAUCUAGAUAUAACUAGUUAUCUCAGCUAUCAUCUAGUGAAAAAGGCAGUCUGGUAAAAUGGAUAGAAUACUAGCUCUGCAAACAGAAGAACUGGGCUCAAAUCCUAGCUUUGCUCCUUGUUACCUGACAGGGGACAACAAGUCUUUUCACUUCCUGGACCUAGCUUUCUUUAUGAAAUAAGAGGGUUGAACUAGGUAACUUUUAAGUUAGUCAGUCAACAAACACUUAUUAAGUAAGCACUUGCUAUGUGCUAGGUACUAUGGUAACUGUUGAUCCUUCUAGCUCUAAAGCUAUGGUCCAUCUACCCUAACCCAACCCUUUCACUUACAGAGAAGGAAACUGAGACUGGAGGAGGCAAGUGAUUUGCCCCCAGGUUACAGAGGUAUCAAGAGGCAGAGCUGAAGUUUGAACCCAAAUCCUCUGGACAACAAUAUAGUGCUAUUUCCACUCUUAUCAUGCUUACUCUUUAGAAGCAAGAUCAGAGCCAAUUGAUACAUUUAACAUCAAUACAUUAGAAAAACUCAUGAGCUAGAUGCAUACAGUAUAAUAUCAGAGAACGGGUAUGAGAGAUUAGAAAAGAGAAAGAUCACUUCUUAAUGGGGCUGAAAAAGAUCAGAAAUACUUUCAUGGGGCGGUGAAACUUUUUUACAAGAUAAUUUUGAAAGAUAGGGCACUGGUAGAUGGGAGAGAUCAGGAAAGGAUUCAUUAAGGUAGAUGGAAGUUCUUAGAUACAUAUAUAAGUAUCUCCUGCCAAGGACUUUUUAGAUGUCUUAAAUUUCAUACGUUUCCUCCCUGCUAUUUUAGUGACAGUAGAUAUCCCUCUGCACUAGUCUGUCUUGACUCUACUUACAAUAGAGGACCCAUCCAUAAGAAAUACAGAAUAUGAACUUUACUUUGGAGCUUCUAUAAGAUAUAUGCAAAAGUGACAAGAGUGAUUAUCAAGUUAAAUGGCAAGUACCAACAAGCUGGGUACAUUCAGGAGAGCAACCUAGAAGAUUCAAGAAAUUGGGCAUAGGUAAUCUGGACAAAAAAAGAUAUAUGUGUGUUGGAGUAGGGGAGAGAAGGGAGAGACAAAUUAGUUGUCAAGCCUUUGAAGGGGAGUAAUUCAACAAAAGAAUAAGCUGCUUUUGGAGAUGAGUUCUUAUCACUAGGGGUAUUCAAACACAAACUGGAUGACAACCUGUUGGUGAUGCUCUUGAGAUGAUUGUUUCACACCUCAGUUCAGAUAUAUACUCUAUAAUAUCUGGAUUAUUCUCCCAUUCUUCCCCCAUUCUCAUUCUGCUUUCCUUAAGUAUCCAUGCUUUUUUGUUCAUGCCAUUUCCCAUAAAUGAGUCAGUUAAUAAGCACAUAAUAUAUAUAUAUAUAAAGCACUCUCACUAUGUGUAAGAUUAAAAAUUAAUCUCCAAAUACUUCAAGUAUUAUAUUCUUAUAAAGAUGUAUUAAUUAAUAACUUGAAGAAAAAGGAAAAUGAUAGUGUUAGCAAAGAGAGAGUUGCCCAAAUGGCCAAAAGCAGGAAGAGAGCCAGGAGGAGAGUUCAGGAAGAAGAGUUAAAAGGUGGGGUUACAGCAAACUUUUAUGUACAAUACAUAGUAAGGAUGCUACAUGGACAAAGGGAAAAGGACUCUGGGAGAUGAAGUCCAAGGGUUCAAGGUUUUUAAUUACACAUAUGGCACUGUGCUUUGUUGUAAAUACAAAAACAAAAAAAGUCAUUCUAAAGAGAAAGACAACAUGUAAAUAACUAAAUACAUUCAAGAUAGUUACAGAGUAAAUGAAAGGUAAUUUCAAAGAAGGUACUAGUAGCUAGAGACAUGAGAAAAAGCUUUAUGUGGAAGAUGGGAUUUGAAAUUAGUCUUGAAGGAAGCCAGGAAAGCUAGGAGGCAAAGAGGAAGAAGGAAUGCAUUCAGGCAUGGGUAACAGUCAGUGCAAGAGAAGGAGGAAAUGUCACAUGGAAGAACAUUAAAUAGGCCAGUGUAGCUAGAUCAAAGCACAUGAAGGGGAGGAAAGUGCAAAAAUAUUGUAGCAGUAGGAAGUCAAUAGGUUAAAGAUCUUUAAACACCAAAAAGAACUUUAUAUAUAAAUAUAUAUGUAGAUAUAUUUAUCCUGAAGGUUUAUUCAAUAAUACUGAGCCCUUGGAGUUUAUUGAAUAAGAGGAUAAAAUGGUCAGACCUAAGCUUUAGAAAAAAAAAAUCAAAUUGGCACCUGAGUGGAAGAGCAAUUAAGAGUGGAGAGAGUUGAGGCAAGGAAACCAGUUAGAUGUCUGGGAAAAAAGGUGAUGAGGACAUGAACAAGGGGGGACUAAUGUAUAUAGAUGGAGAGCAAGUGAUAGAUGAGGCACAUUUUGAAAGUAGAAAUGUUAAAAUUUGGCAAGGGUUUGGAUAUAUGAAACGAGAGUAAGGAAAUCAAGGAUAACAUAGAGUUUAUAAGCCUGGAUAAUUGGGAGGAUGAUGGUACUCAUUAAUAAUAGAGAAGUUUGGAAGAGGGGAGGAAUUAUAGGGAAAAGAAAACUAAUAAUCCUUGUUUUGGCUGUGGUGAAUGUGAGCUGCCAAUGGGACAUGCAGUUUGAGAAAUACAAAAGACAUUAGUAAUCUGGGAUGAGAGAGGGAGAUAGAGGAAGAGAAAAAGUAAAGGUGAGAGACAGAGGAGAGGGAGAAAGAGAGAAACUGAGAGGAGAGAGAAUAUGAAUUUAUAGUAUUAUAAUAUCCUUCUGUCUCCAUCUCUUCCUAUUCUAGUUAUUUUCCUAAAGUAUAAGUUUGAUCCUAUUAUUCCCCCAUUCAAUAAAUUUAAAUGGCUUAAUUACCUAUAGGAUAAAAUGUAAUCUCUUCUGUUUAGCUUUUAAAGUCCUUUAGAAGUUAUUCCAGCCUGGAGGCAACUGGGUAGCUCAGUGGAUUGAGAACCAGGCCUAGAGAUGGGAGGUCCUAGAUUCAAAUUUGACCUCAGACACUUCCUAAUACACAAUAUUAAUUCCAAGACAUAAUUUAAGGGUUAAAAAAAAAAGGAAGUUAUUCCAACCUAUUUUUCUUGUCUCAUUAUAUAUUACUUCCACUCCUGUCUAAACACUGUGAUCUAGCCAAAGUGGUCUCUCCCAACAUAGUACAGUACCAUCCAUCUCAAAGCCUUAACACCCACUCUCCUUCAUACCUAAUAUGUACUCCCUCCUCAUUUUGUUUUAUAGAACUGUUCCUUCAUAAUUUACAAGAAUCGCCAUCUAUUUGAAAGAAGUCUUUCCUGAUCCCUCCCAACUCUAGUGCCUUCCCUUUCAAACCACUUUGUAAUUUAUUAUUUUAUAGUUGUUCUCUUUAUAUUUAUUCCAUAUAUUCAUACAUGUGCCUAUUUUACAUACAUACAUAUAUACUGUCUCUCCAAAAGAGGGGGAGACACACACAUAUACACACACUCUCUCUAAGGCCAGAUAUAGAUAUAUCUUCAGAGACAUAAAUUCACCUGUGUUCAUGAGAUCACUCAGUGGGAUAAUGUAAGGUCCCAGAACAGAGUCAAUUGUUAACCCACUGUUAGAAAUUGUGAUAUGAAGAACCAGCAAAGGUGACAGAGAAAGAAAGUCAGAGCAAUAUGGCAAAAACCCAGAAGAAAGUGGGAAUUCAGGAAGAGGUGAUCCACAGUUAUUAGCUGCUGCAAGAAAAUCAACAAGAUGAGGAUUGAUUUAAAAGCCACUAGAUUUGGCAUGAGCUCUCAAACCUCAGGGAGAGUAUGAUGGGAGAUGAUCUGUGUGCUCCCUUCCUAAUUCUAAGAUGCUACAAAUUUAAGAAUUUAAAGUGAUAUAGGAGAAUAAACAAAUCCAGAGAAGAGAGUGCUAAUAAGCAGCAGAGUCAAUAUUCAAACAGAUUCUACUUCCUAGAGCCCAUAUCUAUAAUUUAAAAAAAAAAAAGUUAAACCAAUUUCUUUUUCUCUACUAUUCUGUGAUCUCUAGCUUUUGGCAAAGCUCUUACUAUUCUAGUUAUUCUAAUUCCCUAAAACUCUUUAUAAAAAAUUUUCUGAAUUUAUAUAGGAGGAGUACAUUUUGCCAUUAUUUGGCACCAACAAGCAUAUCAUCUUGCCAUGCUGGCUGUAACCUUUACCAAGCAAAGUCCUGGCAUGUAGUACUCAGUACCUGGUACUUUCCCAUAUUUUACUUGGUCACUUACAAUCUAAUCAAACUCACUCUUUUUGCUGAUGAAGAAAAGGACCCAAAGAGAAAAGGCCCCAAGAUUGCCCAAGUUAGUGGCAGAGCCAGAACUCAAAGCUGUCUUGAAGCCAAGUCCAGUUCCAUUGCCACUAUAACAUGCUUCUUUGUAUGUGUCUGAUUACACAUUUAUUCUGUGUCACACAUAUUAGAUCACACACAUUAGAUAUACAGAGAACACAGAAGAGAUGUCUUAGCUACAAGCCUCAAGUUCCCUUGUAAUACUAAUAUCUUUAAACCACUUAACAUAAAAAAUUAACUACCCUUUUUAAUAAAAAUUAAGUUCCUAUCUUUUUUUUUUAAUGUUUCACUGAAAAAGUUUUUGAGGUUGUAACCCUAAUCUGAUUUCUACCAUAGGCUCUGUAGAAUGAGGGCAACUAGAUAGCACAGUAAAUAAAGUGCCAGACUGGGAUCUGGAUUCAAAUCCGACCUCAGACACUUCCUAGCUAUGUCACUCAACUCUGAUUGCCUAGCCCUUGAAGCUCUUCUGUCUUGGAACUGAGAGUAAGAUGGAAAAAUAAAGAGUUUUAAUAAUAAUAGUAAGUUUAAAAAAAAGUAUUGUAGAAUGAAUGAAAUUCACUGGAAAGUUUGCACUACAAAUGUACUCCUCCAGGAUCAACAUUUUCUUUCUGAUUCUUUUAAUUAUUAUCCAACAACAAUUACUAGGUAUCUAUGUGCAAGGAAGGCCCUGGGGAUACAAAGACAAAAAAUUGUAAUUGCUUCAUUUUCUACUAGUUUUCUAUCCAUGUGAUCUUGAACAAGUCACUUGAUAUCACUUUGGUUUAUCAAAAUAAGGGGUUAAACCAGAAGAUCUUUAAGUUCCCUUUCUGCUUUAAUUCCACCCUCACUGCCAAUGUUCUAUAGUUUAACUCCCUUGAAAGUUCAACAGCCUUUCUCUAACUCUCUAGUUAGGGCUUGCUGCCACCGAGUGGAUUAAGAAGGCUCUAACACCAAAGAAUGACAAGGCCUAGGACUGUACUACUCAGGCAAAUCCACCAGAUGGAGACUUAAAAAUAUAAAUUGGGAAACAAGGCUGCCUACAUUUGAAAGUCAAGUGGUCAUAGGGUCACAGAAUUUGGGACUACAAAGAACCUUGUUUUAUAGUUAAAAAAACUGAACCCCACAGCUAAUAAGUAUCAGGAUCCAGGAUUCAAAAUUUGAACUUCUAUCACCAAAUUGAGAACCCUUUCACCACAGUACCAUGGAAAUACCUUGUAAUAAGACCAUUUUCUUCUCUCUGCUAGAUUCCAGUUGUGUAGCUUUCAAAAAUCAGGUAAUUUAUGCCACUGCAUUUAUCUGAAGAGGAUGGCUUUAAUUUAGUGUUUUCCUCCACACAUUAACCAUUUUAUUUCUUUUUUUGUAAGGUCUACUCUAUGUAGGCAGAAGGUAAAAAUACCUGUACUAUAUGCUCAGGAGGUAAUAUGCAGCUAAUUAAACUUAUGCAACCAAUUAAGAAUUAAAUUUGAAUGGUUAAUUACAGCUAAAUUUUCAUAAAAUUAAGACUGAUAAAGCAUUUUCCUUACAGAAAGCCUAUGAGGUUGAUAAUACAGAUAUUUAAAAACCAGGUAAAUUGGCAUAGCAUUAAAGAUUAAAGCAAUAAAAAUUAUCAGCAUUCUAGUUCAGUAGUGUUAAACAAAUAGAAAUAGGAGCCACUAAAUUCUGAAUAAGGAUCCUUACAGGUAACGUAUUGACUUAG